AAGGAUCAUUACUGAGAGGUUAUUAAGACUCUUGGGUUGAGUUUCUUUGCUCUUCUCUUGAGUUUCCUCACGGUUUUGUGCAAUGUUGGGUCACCUUGGUUGACUCUGCCCUAAGUAUUGGGCUGGCCUUUGGGGCCCCUAGUAUGAUUUAUCAUACUAACCCCAGAGGUUAUUUCUACUAUGUCUAUGAAUUGAUGUAUGAAAAAGUUAUUUGUUAACUUGAAGGCUUUUCUGUAAAAAGUGAGUCUUUAAAAACAACUCUUGGCAAUGGAUCUCUUGGUUCUCGCAUCGAUGAAGAGCGUAGCAAAGUGCGAUAAUUAUUGCGACUUGCAUUCAUAGUGAAUCAUCGAGUUCUUGAACGCAUCUUGCGCCUAGUAGUCAAUCUACUAGGCACAGUUGUUUCAGUAUCUGCAUCCACCAAUCAAUACAACUUGCUUGUGUUGGAACUGGGCUUACUUUUGAUGGCAUUUGGUUGCUGUCAUGGCCUUAAAUGUAUUUAGUCCUAGGUGUUAACUUGUUAAUGCCGGAUGGAGACUCUAGAGUGCCUUAGAAGCAGCUUGGUUAGUGAGUUCAUAAUUCCAAGUGUUAGUCUUUUAUUGAACUGGGUUUCUAGUCUAUGGGACUUACUUGAGAGUCGACCUCUCUAGUAAAUCAAACUCACAUCUAGAUCUGAAAUCAACUGAGAUCACCCGCUGAACUUAA
RNAcentral lists this ribosomal RNA (702 nucleotides) under Lichtheimia ornata. RNAcentral describes it as "eukaryotic LSU rRNA". The stretch from base 257 to 410 matches the Rfam family "5.8S ribosomal RNA". The record is from RNAcentral. Lineage: Eukaryota; Fungi; Mucoromycota; Mucoromycetes; Mucorales; Lichtheimiaceae.